AGAGUGAGUGCCGUUUCGUUCUUUGCUUCGCGCAUUAUAUACACGUAAGCACAGCAGCUUGCUGCUCCUACUGAAAUUCACAACAGCAUAAGCAAAGUUCAUGGAUUUGGUUCACAAGGUGUUGAACAUUCUACUUCCUCCUAUAAGUACCAUCCUGCUCCUAUGUUUCUUCCCACUCUAUCUUGUAUUCAAGUUUCUUUAUUACAUAAAAAGGCAUAUAUUCAGCGAAAAUGUGUCUGGAAAAGUGGUGCUCAUCACAGGAGCAGCCUCAGGAAUUGGCGAGGUAAGAUUUUUUAUCUACUUACACAAAUGAAUCCAUCGUCAGCUUAGAAAUUAAUUUCUUGGUGAAUGGGUAUCUUUAUUUAUCUAUUAUGGUGUUUUCUUGUCAAUUUAAAGCAAAUUAGCUAUGAGUACGCUAAGAGAGGAGCUUGUUUAGUCUUGGUUGACAUAAAAGAGGAUCGUCUUGGAGCAGUUGUUGAGAAGGCGCGAAAUCUUGGCUCCCCAGAUGUCAUAGCAGUCGGUGCAGAUGUUUCUAAGGUGGAAGAUUCUGAGAGAUUUGUUCGUGUAGCAGUGGACCAUUUUGGUAGAUGUAUGUGCUCUUGUUCUUGGACCUCUCUUUUUUUUCUCCCUAAUUUUUUUUUUAACUCCAUAUUCAUUCGAAAUUCUGGGUAUGUUGGGGCUGGUGCAAAAGUGGAUCAUCUGGUGAACAAUGCUGGAAUUAUAGUAUCAGGCCAAUUAAAGGACACGAAAAAUUUACUACCUCGUCGAGUUAUGGUAAUGAUCAGUUAGAAUAAUUAGAGAAGAUACUACUUCAAUCUUUUCGUUUGAAUUUGGCUUUUUUAUAUGUACAAUCUCCUCCCAAUAGAUAAUUCACCAUAACACAGAAAUAAUCAAGUAUGUCUUCUUAUUUAAUGGAGGAAGUAAUUAAAUGAGAAUAUAUUUGUCCAAUCUUAUUUAAGGCAUUUUUAUAAGAUGAAUUGUGGAUUAAUUCAUAGUGUUAUUGAGUGCUUAAAUUAAUGUACAGGACGUAAACUUUUGGGGUACAAUUUACAGCACCCAUUUUGCCCUCCCACAUCUAACGAAGAGCAAAGGCAAAAUCAUUGUGAUUGCGUCAACUCUGGGAUGGUACCCUGCUCCGAAGCUGGGUUUCUAUGUUGUAAGCCAUUUAACUAGUAUCCAUUAAUAUCUUAUAUUUUUGCUUUGAUUCAUCAUAGCAAUUCCUUUCGACUCCAGGCAAGCAAAGCAGCAGUAAUAAACUUCUAUGAGUCCCUGAGAAGUGAAAUUGGUGGGGAUGUUGGCAUUACAAUUGUAACUCCUGGCCUCAUAAAGUCGGAAAUGACUGAUAACCUGGCAAAAAAGGUAAUUGAUAAUCCUAUUAUUUGUGCAUAGAGAUGAAUCUUGAAAAUUAUGAAUUAUGUAAAUGUAGGAAAAAGUAGAUUUGAUUAUUCCGUUAGAGUCUAAAGAGGCAUGUGCAAAGGCAAUAGUGAAAAGUGGCUGCCGUGGAGAUAAGUACUUGGUGGAGCCAUCAUGGAUUAGGGUGCUGUAUCCGUGCAAGGUUCUGUAUCCUGAGGUGGUGGAGUUUUGCAACCACUGGGCUAUUUACAGAAGGCAAGUGGCUUCAGAGAACAGCUUAGCCCAAUCUCCUCAGCCCAAGAUAGAAUGAGCCUGUCCACUAAAGAAGUGGGACUCCCAACUUUGUCCAUUAAUAAUUUCAUUUGCGUUCGUUUUUCCUCUCUUUGUUGUUGUUUUAGCUAGAACUGUCUAAUUUUGUAAAAUUGACAAGAGUUAGCUGCAGAUUGGUCAUUAAAAGCAGCCCUAGUUAUAAUUAACCUGUCUCCAGGAUUGGCUGUGCUGUGUAAUCCUCCGCAUCAACUCCUGACUAUUUUGUGUUUUACUUUAUGGAUGUCUUUUCAAAGACUUGUUUUAAUAAAGUUUCUCUUCAGUUUAAAAAAAAUAUUAAUA
Molecule: unclassified non-coding RNA, 1962 nt
Filed under: Hevea brasiliensis (rubber tree)
Lineage: Eukaryota; Viridiplantae; Streptophyta; Magnoliopsida; Malpighiales; Euphorbiaceae
Source: RNAcentral